This 208-nucleotide ribosomal RNA is filed under the name uncultured bacterium. Its description in RNAcentral is "partial 16S ribosomal RNA". It matches the Rfam family "Bacterial small subunit ribosomal RNA", at positions 568 to 775 of the family's 1533-position model. The record is from RNAcentral.
CGCGUAGGUGGCCUUCUAAGUCGAACGUGAAAUCCCUGGGCUCAACCCAGGAACUGCGUCCGAUACUGGAAGGCUUGAAUCCGGGAGAGGGAUGCGGAAUUCCAGGUGUAGCGGUGAAAUGCGUAGAUAUCUGGAGGAACACCGGUGGCGAAGGCGGCAUCCUGGACCGGCAUUGACGCUGAGGCUCGAAGGCAGGGUAGACGGAAAG